RNAcentral lists this ribosomal RNA (465 nucleotides) under uncultured bacterium. RNAcentral's name for it is "partial 16S ribosomal RNA". It matches the Rfam family "Bacterial small subunit ribosomal RNA", at positions 338 to 795 of the family's 1533-position model. The record is from RNAcentral.
CCUACGGGUGACAGCAGUGGGGAAUAUUGCGCAAUGGGCGAAAGCCUGACGCAGCGACGCCGCGUGAGGGAUGAAGGUCUUCGGAUCGUAAACCUCUGUCAGCAGGGAAGAACGGUCACUGUGCUAAUCAGCAGUGAAUUGACGGUACCUGCAAAGGAAGCACCGGCUAACUCCGUGCCAGCAGCCGCGGUAAUACGGAGGGGGCGAGCGUUAAUCGGAAUUACUGGGCGUAAAGCGCUCGUAGGCGGGAUGUCAAGUCAAGGGGGAAAUCCCCGCGCUCAACGUGGGAACUGCCUUUGAAACUGGCAAACUGGAGUGUGGGAGAGGAUAGUGGAAUUCCAGGUGUAGGAGUGAAAUCCGUAGAUAUCUGGAGGAACAUCAGUGGCGAAGGCGACUAUCUGGCACAUAACUGACGCUGAGGAGCGAAAGCGUGGGUAGCAAACAGGAUUAGAUACCCUUGUAGUC